This 253-nucleotide ribosomal RNA is filed under the name uncultured bacterium. RNAcentral describes it as "partial 16S ribosomal RNA". It matches the Rfam family "Bacterial small subunit ribosomal RNA", at positions 524 to 776 of the family's 1533-position model. The record is from RNAcentral.
UACGAAGGGGGCUAGCGUUGCUCGGAAUCACUGGGCGUAAAGCGCACGUAGGCGGCUUUCUAAGUCGGGGGUGAAAUCCUGGAGCUCAACUCCAGAACUGCCUUCGAUACUGGAGAGCUUGAGUCCGGGAGAGGUGAGUGGAACUGCGAGUGUAGAGGUGAAAUUCGUAGAUACUCGCAAGAACACCAGUGGCGAAGGCGGCUCACUGGCCCGGUACUGACGCUGAGGUGCGAAAGCGUGGGGAGCGAACAGG